Molecule: unclassified non-coding RNA, 520 nt
Filed under: uncultured Glomus
Lineage: Eukaryota; Fungi; Glomeromycota; Glomeromycetes; Glomerales; Glomeraceae
Description: SSU rRNA
Rfam family: Eukaryotic small subunit ribosomal RNA
Source: RNAcentral
AGCAGCCGCGGUAAUUCCAGCUCCAAUAGCGUAUAUUAAAGUUGUUGCAGUUAAAAGCUCGUAGUUGAAUUUCGGGAUCAGUUGGUCGGUCGUGCCUCGGUACGUACUGGUCAAAUUGAUUCCUACCUUCUGACGAACCACGAUGUCAUUAAUUUGGUGUCGCGGGAAAUCAGGACUGUUACUUUGAAAAAUUAGAGUGUUUAAAGCAGGCUCGCGCUUGAAUACAUUAGCAUGGAAUAAUGAAAUAGGACGUUUGAUUCUAUUUUGUUGGUUUCUAGGAUCGACGUAAUGAUUAAUAGGGAUAGUUGGGGGCAUUAGUAUUCAAUUGUCAGAGGUGAAAUUCUUGGAUUUAUUGAAGACUAACUACCGCGAAAGCAUUUGCCAAGGAUGUUUUCAUUAAUCAAGAACGAAAGUUAGGGAUCGAAGACGAUCAGAUACCGUCGUAGUCUUAACCAUAAACUAUGCCGACUAGGGAUCGGAUGAUGUUAAUUUUUAAUGACUCAUUCGGCGCCUUACGGGA